This is a long non-coding RNA of Mirounga angustirostris (Northern elephant seal), 5239 nucleotides long. RefSeq lists it as uncharacterized. NCBI's taxonomy places the organism in Eukaryota, Metazoa, Chordata, Mammalia, Carnivora, Phocidae. The record is from RefSeq and is a predicted model, not a curated record. The transcript has 3 exons.
UAGGGGCUUCACAGAUGGACUUCGAGGGUCUGACAGCGCCCCCUUCUUCCCCCGGAAUAGAAGACGAAAUCACCUACAUACAUUUUUUUUUCCUUGGGAGAGUAUUCAUGGCUUUCGUUAGAACCUCAAGAGGUAUCAUCACCUUCAGGAAACUUUUCUGGAAAAAUCCUAUCCGACCCCCAAAUACCAGCAAACCCCUGAUCCACUCCUUACCCCCUACAAUCCUCAGUGUCAGCUGUUAUAUCCAGGGACGGCCAGCUUCCUCUUCCUGCCACCCUGCCUCCCCUGCAGUCUGGUUAAAUGGAAGGGCCAUGGGCUUGGUUCUUCACUGAGUGCCAGGACUGGCUCCUUGCUGAGGGCGGUUUGCACCCUACUGACUCCUGCUUACACCUGGAAGUGAGAGAAAUCCAUAAAUGGCCCAUCUUGGACCAUCGAUGGGUGGCCUACAUCCUGGAAAUACUUGAGGAGCAACCAAACCAGAUCUAACAGCGAGUGAAGUAAGAGCCAAGUAACCUUGCCACCAUCCUUUUACAUAUGCAUCCGAGCUGCCCAAACUCCUUAGUGCACAGAAUCAUGGGUACACUUUCUCUCCAUUCCUAUUUUUUUUUUAAAGAUUUUAUUUAUUUAUUUGAGAGAGAGAGAAUGAGAGAGAGCACAUGAGAGGGAGGAGGGUCAGAGGGAGAAGCAGACUCCCCGCCGAGCAGGGAGCCUGAUGCGGGACUCGAUCCAGGGACUCCAGGAUCAUGACCUGAGCCGAAGGCAGUCGCUUAACCAACUGAGCCACCCAGGCGCCCCUCUUCAUUCCUAUUUCUGUUAGAAUUGAAAACCUUCGAUAUUAAAACAUGGACAAAAAAAAAUUUGGAUGAUCACAGCCUAGAGGGGGUCACCUGGACUUGGGCCUGAUUUCAUGUUUGGCAGAAUCCUCUCAGUGACCGUGGGCCUGCUUUGGGUCCCCAGGACCCUCUGGUCUCUGCUUCUCAGACUUUGAGGAAGCCAGGCAGGAACAGUAGAAGAAGUCUCCAGUUCAAGGUCAUGAAGCACAUCUGCAGUUCCUCUGGCCAUUCUGGGGAAUGAGGCCGCCGCUCCCCUACCUCUGGGUUUUAUCUUCACAGCCCCCACGUCAUCGCCUUCCUAGCCAGAGUGUGCAGAGUGGACUGGCAGGCUCGGUCUGAGGUCAGCAUGGGGUGAGUGGCAGACAGCUUGGUGCCAAGGACUGUACCCACAUGACCCGGCCACCCUACCCCACAUGAAUGCCAACGGCAGAGAUGGGUAUGUGUACAAAAAGUCUCCUUUGCCAACUAUCUGGAUGAACCGAGUUAUCAGCCUGCGUGGGUGGGGGGUGGUUACUGCAGGUGCCAAGAGGGACGGGAGAGACAGGAGCAGGUGAGAUGGCCCAGAAGCAUCUUAAGAGUGAGGCCAGUGGCCACAUGCAUCCUGGAGAGAAUACUGCAUAAUACCUGGCACUUAGCUGGUGCUGAAUACGUGUUAGAGCUUAAUAGUGCUAGUUGAAGCUAGUCUAACUGUGAGGGUUGGAAGGACCCUCUGAAAUUAUCCUUUCCCUCAGAAACCGAAUCCCAUUUACAGCACUGCCCAGGGAGCCACUCGGCCUCACCUUCAGCAUGCCCGGGCUUGGAGUCAAGCUGUGAGAUGCGUGCAAAACUGAGCCUUGGUUUCCUCCUCUGUAAAAUGGGGAGAAUCGGGGCAUCUGGCUGGCCCAGUCGCUAGAGCAUGAGACUCUUGAUCUCGGGGUUGUGAAUUCAAGCCCCACGUGGGGAAUAGAGCUUACUUAAAAUAAAAAUAAAAUGGGGAGAAUAGUACCUCCCUUACUGUGAGAAAAUGUAGACAGGGUGUAAUACAGAAGCUGGUACACCAGGUUCUCAAUAAAAUUCUCCUCCUCCUCCUCCUUCUUCACAACAACAGCACAAAUUGCUUUCCUGGUUUAUACACUGGUACGGUGGCUAGCAAAGUAUGUCCCUGGACCAGCAACAUCAGGAUGUCCUGGGAACUUGUUAGAAAUGAAGAUUCUCGGGGCGCCUCCGACUCUUGAGUUUGACUCAGGUCAUGAUCUAGGCUCAGGUCAUGAUCUCAGAGUCAUGAAAUCGAGCCCUGCCUCAGGCUCUGUGCUGAUUUUCUCUCUCUCUCUCUCUCUCUCUUUCCCUCUCCCUCUGCCCCUCCCCCCACCCCUCACUCCUGCCCGCACUCUCUCUAAAAAGAAAGAAAGAAAGAUUCUCUAGGGGUGCCUGGCUGGCUCAGUCAGUAGAGCACGUGACUCUUGAUCUUGGGGUUGUAAGUUAGAGCCCUAUGUUGGGUGCGAAAUUACUUAAAAAUAAAAUUAAAAAAAAAAAAGAAAGAAAGAAACGCAGAUUCUCAGUUCUGCCCCAGACCUGCUGGAUCAGAAAUUCUGGGGGUGCGGCUCAAUAAUCUUUGGUAAGCCCUCCAGGGUACUGAGCUGCAGCUACAGUUUGCAAAUGACUGCUUUAGAGCCACAAAGGAAAAGUCUAAUUCCCAUUCUACAGAGAGCCAUUCACUAUUUGAAGACAUUUUUCAUGUUCUUCCUUGACAAGUUUCAUUGUCCCCAGCAACAUCCUCUCCACUUCCUUCAGCCAUCCUUCAUUGGCCAUGUAUUCCAGACCCCUUGCCAUGCUUUUCUCCAUUCAUGUCAUGCUCUGACUGUUAAUGACCUUCAUAAAAAUGGUCCCGAGUGGUCUAAGCAGCACCGAAUGCAAUGGGUUCGCUGCCUCCUCUUUUCUAGAAAUUUUGACAGCUUUUUAUUGAGUGCCCACUCUGUGCUAAGCACAUGACCUACAAUAACUUUUUGUUUAUAUUUUUUGAAGUAAGUUCUAUGCCCAACAUGGGGCUCGAACUCACGACCCUGAGAUCAAGAGUCACAUGCUCUACCAACUAAGUCAGCCAGGCACCCCUUGUUUACUUUUUUUUUUUUAAUUGGGGUUAAACUUACAUAGAUUAAAAUGCACAAGUCUUAAGUGAACAACUUGAAUUUGUAUAUGUGUACAUACCCAGGUGACCACCACCCAGAUCAAGAUACAGAAUAUUUCCAGCACCCACCCCGGAAAUGGUAGUGUGGUUGUUUAAUAUUAUGUCUGUGAGAACAUAAGUUCAUAAUUCUUCAUUGCUAUGCAGUAUGCCACCGUAUACAUACACAUAAUUUAUUUGCAUGCAAUUUUAUUGCAUACAAAUUUAUACACACACAAUUUAUUUAGCCCAUCUGCUAUUGAUGGACAUUCAGGUUGUUUCCAGUUUGGAGCUAUUAUAAAUAAAGCUGGUUUGGACAUUCAUGUACUUGUCUUUUGGGGGACAUAAGCAUUCAUUCUAUUGAGGAUAUGCCCAAAAGUGAAGUUGCGAGGCCAUAGGAUUGGUUUAGCUUUAGGAGAUGUUGCCAAACAGUUAUCCAAAGGGAUUGUAUCAGCAUACCCUCCUCCAGAGUUCCAGUUGCUCCGCAUCCUUGUCACCAGUCAUGUUCAUUUUAACCCUCAUGUUGGGAGGACACUAGUUUCUUAGGGGUUUUCAUCUGCGUUUCUCUAAUAACAGAUACUGUUCAGUAUUUUUUUAAUGUACUUAUUGGCCACUUGUUCAACUUCUUUUGUGAAACGCCCCUUCAAGUUUUCUAUCUACUUUUUUUUUAAAGAUUUAUGUAUUUAUUUUAGAGAAAGAGUGAGAGAGCGCUCAGGUGGGGAGGGUCAAAGUGAGGGGGAGAGAGAGAAUUUUUUUUAAAUUUUUUAUUGUUAUGUUAGUCACCAUACAUUACAUCAUUAGUUUUUGAUAUAGUGUUCCAUGAUUCAUUGUUUGUGGAUAACACCCAGUGCUCCAUGCAGAACGUGCCCUCUUUAAUACCCAUCACCAGGCUAACCCAUCCUCCCACCCCCCCUCUAGAGGAGAGAGAGAAUCUUAGGCAGGCUCCAUGCCCAGCGCAGAGCCCCACGUGGGGCUCGAUCCCAUGGUCCUGAGAUCAUGAUGUGAGCUGAAAUCGAGAGUCGGUCACUUAACCAACUGAGCCACCCAGGCGCCCCAAGUCUUCUGCCUACUUUUAACAUUGGGUUGUCUGUCCUUAGAAAAAUUAUGUAGGAGUUUUUGUUAUAUUCUAGAUAUGAGUCUUUUCUCAGUUACACAUAUUAUAAAUAUCUUCUACUUGUCUGUGCCUACAUUAUCUUUAAUCUUCACGAUGAUCCUAUGACGUAGGCAUUAUUAUCCUUUUUUUAUGGAUGAGGAAACUGCGGCUCAAGAAGGCAGAGUAACUUGCCCAAAGUCACACAGUUAGAAAGUAUCGAAGCUGAAUUUUGAGCCCACUCCAAAGUCUGGAUCCUCCCCAUGACACCAUCUGCCUCUCACAUUCAACUCCUACUUACACACCCAAGGCUGGUGACAUUUUCCCCCAGGAACUGCUAUUUUUUUUAAAGAUUUUAUUUAUUUAUUUGUCAGAGAGAGAGCACAAGCAGAGAGAGCAGGAGAGAGACAAACAGGCUCUCCGCUGAGCAGGGAGCCCGAUGUGGGGCUCAAUCCCAGGACCCUAGGAUCAUGACCUGAGCCAAAGGCAGACACUUAACCGACUGAGCCACCCAGGUGUCCCUCCCCCCCCCACCCCCCGCCCCCUGGAACUGCCAUUGAACUAAGUCUUCCUGUCUUGUCUAGGCACAGUUGAUUUAUUGAAAUCCUAUGCAGUAUAGGACUUGGUAUAUGUGGAAUAACGGGAAGAAUGUGGAAUCAGGAGCAAGACAGACCAGCACUAGGUUUUGGCCCCGCACUUGACGGUCAAUUCAGGGCUGAACAUUGUCAGCCCAAUUCUCUUCAAAUGCAAAAUAUCACAUCCUUACAGCGUUGUGGUGGGCAGAAAUGAGAGCACACUGGAGCCUCUGGUAGAACACCGAGUUCGGUGCCGCCUACACUUCCUUAGUUGCCUUCCCCUACCCUGAGCCUCAUGUAAUUUCCGUUUGGGUUUCUCUUCCCUGCCAGCACACUUUGGAUCCCAGUUCACCCAUGCCGCCGAAGGGCUAUUCCUCCAGCUGUCCCAGAUUAAUGGCCCCUCACAUUCCUAAUGGAUGGUGGAUGGUUACUAAUCGUCAUCCAACUCAUUGAGAAAAAUAUUGAACACAAUGCACCGUUCUCCACCCUCCUAAUUAACCUUUCAUUUGGAGCUCAGGUGAGCUAUUCAUCCUGCGGGAGCUCCCCCACCCCCCAUUGCUACCUGAGGUGCCUGCCUGUGUUCCCUCCCUCUCCACUUACC